Molecule: ribosomal RNA, 492 nt
Filed under: uncultured bacterium
Lineage: Bacteria
Description: partial 16S ribosomal RNA
Rfam family: Bacterial small subunit ribosomal RNA
Source: RNAcentral
AGUGAACGCUGGCGGUAGGCCUAACACAUGCAAGUCGAACGGCAGCACAGUAAGAGCUUGCUCUUACGGGUGGCGAGUGGCGGACGAGUGAGGAAUACAUCGGAAUCUACUUUUUCGUGGGGGAUAACGUAGGGAAACUUACGCUAAUACCGCAUACGACCUACGGGUGAAAGCAGGGGAUCUUCGGACCUUGCGCGAUUGAAUGAGCCGAUGUCGGAUUAGCUAGUUGGCGGGGUAAAGGCCCACCAAGGCGACGAUCCGUAGCUGGUCUGAGAGGAUGAUCAGCCACACUGGAACUGAGACACGGUCCAGACUCCUACGGGAGGCAGCAGUGGGGAAUAUUGGACAAUGGGCGCAAGCCUGAUCCAACCAUACCGCGUGGGUGAAGAAGGCCUUCGGGUUGUAAAGCCCUUUUGUUGGGAAAGAAAAGCAGCAGGUUAAUACCCCGCUGUUCUGACGGUACCCAAAGAAUAAGCACCGGCUAACUUCGUG